UACGUAGGAGACGAGCGUUGUCCGGAAUUACUGGGCGUAAAGCGUGCACAGGCGGUUUUGUAAGCCAGAUGUGAAAUCCCCGGGCUUAACCUGGGAAUGGCAUUUGGGACUGCAAGGCUUGAGUGCGGCAGAGGGGGAUGGAAUUCCGCGUGUAGCAGUGAAAUGCGUGGAUAUGCGGAGGAACACCGAUGGCGAAGGCAAUCCCCUGGGCCUGCACUGACGCUGAGGAGCGAAAGCGUGGGGAGCGAACAGG
Molecule: ribosomal RNA, 253 nt
Filed under: uncultured bacterium
Lineage: Bacteria
Description: partial 16S ribosomal RNA
Rfam family: Bacterial small subunit ribosomal RNA
Source: RNAcentral